UGAUUGCAAUUAGUGUACCGUUUCUUUUUUGGCCCUGAUUAAUCACAGGACAAAUGGAUCAACAUACAGCCCGGGAGAAAGCAGCACAGCAUCACCCGUUCCCGGGAACCGGUUAUUCGGAUUCAGAUGCUUCUAAGGUUCGAGCAAGUCAUGAUUACAGCAGCAAUUCUUCAGACAUCUAGCAUGCCUACAGAAUUUUUGAUUCAGAGAAUGCAGUUAGUCAACAGAAAUGCUCGCAUGGUUCAACAGAUUGAAAUGUUCAGAGCAAACCGAACCCAGAAAAUGAUUUUAGAAUGGCCAUGUUUUGGCCGUUCGUCCACCGCAAACAAGCAGCCAAAGUAGAAUUACCUGCAGCUCGAGAGACGGCGACAGCAUCGUGCAGCGGCUUGUGGAUCGUCACGGGAGCUAGCAGAGAGCUUGAGGGAGACUUGCCACAUACCAACAAUUGGCCCAUGCUCCUACUGUCCCACCAUUACUAUCAUUCAUUUAUCUUUUUGUUGUUCCUAUUUCACCCUUCACAUGCUAAUGUUCUCCAUUUCAGAAUCCUGGGCUGAAGAACAGCCGCUGAAGUAUAUAUACUUUGACGGACGGACGUCGCAUUCAUCUCUGGGACCCAAAUCUCAAUUGGUGUUGAUGGAUCCUUACUGAUCACGACAUAAGAUGGUCCCUCUCCGGUAUCAAUUUCUAGGAAGGCAAGGUGAUAUGUCAGUCUCCCCUGUACGAGUGGUGUCUGUGUAUCCCUGGAAAAAAGAGAAUCAAAUCUGGUCAUCCUCUGUCCAUUCAUUCCAAGCACUAAUUUGGCUAUGAACAUCGCAAGCUUUCCUUCAUAACCGAGGCUUAACUUUUUUUCCCCUCAAACAAGAUAAAUGCCUGGAAGGUAACCCUUGAUGCCCUGGUCAGUCUUGGCUGUGCAAAAAUCAUUGGUGCUUUUACUUUGACUAUUUAUAAUUUUUAUACAGUUAGUUCAUAGUUAAUGGAAGUUAUAUGAUUGUAAUUAUGACAAAUAUGCAUGACUAAU
This is a long non-coding RNA of Oryza brachyantha (malo sina), 1018 nucleotides long. RefSeq lists it as uncharacterized. NCBI's taxonomy places the organism in Eukaryota, Viridiplantae, Streptophyta, Magnoliopsida, Poales, Poaceae. The record is from RefSeq and is a predicted model, not a curated record. The transcript has 3 exons.